AUUUUUAAGAAAAAAAGUGUAUGAUUGGUAGUUUAGCUGGGGCGGCUUCCUCCAAAAGAGUAACGGAGGAGUACAAAGACAAUUUCAAUUUAAUGUCAAUUAAAUUUGUGAGCGUAAUGGUAUAAAAUUGUUUAACUGUAAGAUUUACAAAUCAAACAGAGAUAAUAGUUCGGUCAUAGUGAUCCAGUAACACAGAAUGGAAUGGUUAUUGCUUAACGGAUAAAAGGUACGCCGGGGAUAACAGGCUAAUUGUCCUUGAGAGGCCAUAUCGACGGGAUAGUUUGGCACCUCGAUGUCGACUUAUCACAUCCUGGAGUAGUAGGGGAUUCCAAGGGUUCGGCUGUUCGCCGAUUAAAGUGGUACAUGAGUUGGGUUUAGAACGUCGUGAGACAGUUUGGUCUCUAUCUACCGUAAAUGAUAGAAAAUUGAUAAAAAUCUGAUUUUCGUACGAGAGGAG
This 457-nucleotide ribosomal RNA is filed under the name uncultured bacterium. RNAcentral describes it as "bacterial LSU rRNA". It matches the Rfam family "Bacterial large subunit ribosomal RNA", at positions 2238 to 2692 of the family's 2925-position model. The record is from RNAcentral.